Molecule: ribosomal RNA, 452 nt
Filed under: uncultured bacterium
Lineage: Bacteria
Description: bacterial SSU rRNA
Rfam family: Bacterial small subunit ribosomal RNA
Source: RNAcentral
AGCGAACGCUGGCGGCAGGCUUAACACAUGCAAGUCGAGCGGGCGUAGCAAUACGUCAGCGGCAGACGGGUGAGUAACGCGUGGGAACGUUCCUUUUGGUUCGGAACAACCCAGGGAAACUUGGGCUAAUACCGGAUAAGCCCUUACGGGGAAAGAUUUAUCGCCGAAAGAUCGGCCCGCGUCUGAUUAGCUAGUUGGUGAGGUAACGGCUCACCAAGGCGACGAUCAGUAGCUGGUCUGAGAGGAUGAUCAGCCACAUUGGGACUGAGACACGGCCCAAACUCCUACGGGAGGCAGCAGUGGGGAAUAUUGGACAAUGGGCGCAAGCCUGAUCCAGCCAUGCCGCGUGAGUGAUGAAGGCCUUAGGGUUGUAAAGCUCUUUCGGCGGGGACGAUGAUGACGGUACCCGCAGAAGAAGCCCCGGCUAACUUCGUGCCAGCCGCCGCGGUAAC